CGGGGUGUAGCGCAGUUUGGUAGCGCGUUCGGUUCGGGACCGAAAGGCCGCAGGUUCAAGUCCUGUCACCCCGACCA
RNAcentral lists this transfer RNA (77 nucleotides) under Negativicutes bacterium. RNAcentral describes it as "tRNA-Pro". It matches the Rfam family "tRNA". From Rfam's summary of the family: Transfer RNA (tRNA) molecules are approximately 80 nucleotides in length. Their secondary structure includes four short double-helical elements and three loops (D, anti-codon, and T loops). Lineage: Bacteria; Bacillati; Bacillota; Negativicutes. The record is from RNAcentral.